CGUAUAUUAAAGUUGUUGCAGUUAAAAAGCUCGUAGUUGGAUUUGUGGCAGGUGCGUGCGGCCCUUCACUAUGUGCGGGUGCUUGUGCGCGCCGCCAUCCUUGGGUGGAGCYUGUGUGGCAUUAGGUUGUCGUGCAGGGGAUGCCCAUCUUUUACUGUGAAAAAAUUAGAGUGUUCAAAGCAGGCUUAUGCCGUUGAAUAUAUUAGCAUGGAAUAAUGAGAUAGGACCUUGGUACUAUUUUGUUGGUUUGCGCACCAAGGUAAUGAUUAAUAGGGACAGUUGGGGGUAUUCGUAUUCCAUUGUCAGAGGUGAAAUUCUUGGAUUUCUGGAAGACGAACUACUGCGAAAGCAUUUACCAAGGAUGUUUUCAUUAAUCAAGAACGAAAGUUAGGGGAUCGAAGAUGAUUAGAUACCAUCGUAGUCUUAACCAUAAACUAUGCCGACAAGGGAUUGGCGGGGUUCUUAUGUCUCCGUCAGCACCUUAUGAGAAAUCACAAGUCUUUGGGUUCCGGGGGGAGUAUGGUCGCAAGG
This 531-nucleotide ribosomal RNA is filed under the name Eunotia sp. RNAcentral describes it as "SSU rRNA". The record is from RNAcentral. Lineage: Eukaryota; Bacillariophyta; Bacillariophyceae; Eunotiales; Eunotiaceae.